CGUGGAGACAGGUGGUGCAUGGCUGUCGUCAGCUCGUGUCGUGAGAUGUUGGGUUAAGUCCCGCAACGAGCGCAACCCUCACCCCUUGUUGCCAUCAGGUCAUGCUGGGCACUCUAGGGGAACUGCCCCGGUCAACGGGGAGGAAGGCGGGGAUGACGUCAAGUCAUCAUGCCCCUUACGUCCUGGGCUACACACGUGCUACAAUGGCCGGUACAAAGGGAUGCAACGCCGCGAGGCAGAGCCAAACCCAAAAAGCCGGUCUAAGUUCAGAUUGGAGUCUGCAACUCGACUCCAUGAAGGAGGAAUCGCUAGUAAUCGCGUAUCAGCACGACGCGGUGAAUACGUUCCCGGGCCUUGUACACACCGCCCGUCACACCACGAAAGCCAGCUGUACUCGAAGUCGCUGAG
This 408-nucleotide ribosomal RNA is filed under the name uncultured Methylomirabilota bacterium. Its description in RNAcentral is "bacterial SSU rRNA". It matches the Rfam family "Bacterial small subunit ribosomal RNA", at positions 1027 to 1434 of the family's 1533-position model. Lineage: Bacteria; Methylomirabilota (SeqCode). The record is from RNAcentral.